This 552-nucleotide ribosomal RNA is filed under the name uncultured bacterium. RNAcentral's name for it is "partial 16S ribosomal RNA". It matches the Rfam family "Bacterial small subunit ribosomal RNA", at positions 356 to 900 of the family's 1533-position model. The record is from RNAcentral.
AGGGAAUCUUCCACAAUGGACGCAAGUCUGAUGGAGCAACGCCGCGUGAGUGAAGAAGGUUUUCGGACCGUAAAGCUCUGUUGUUGGUGAAGAAGGAUAGAGGUAGUAACUGGCCUUUAUUUGACGGUAAUCAACCAGAAAGUCACGGCUAACUACGUGCCAGCAGCCGCGGUAAUCGUAGGUGGCAAGCGUUGUCCGGAUUUAUUGGGCGUAAGGCGAGCGCAGGCGGAAGAAUAAGUCUGAUGUGAAAGCCCUCGGCUUAACCGAGGAAUUGCAUCGGAAACUGUUUUCUUGAGUGCAGAAGAGGAGAGUAGAACUCCAUGUGUAGCGGUGGAAUGCGUAGAUAUAUGGAAGAAUACCAGCGGCGAAGGCGGCUCUCUGGUCUGCAACUGACGCUGAGGCUCGAAAGCAUGGGUAGCGAACAGGAUUAGAUACCCUGGUAGUCCAUGCCGUAAACGAUGAGUGCUAAGUGUUGGGAGGCUUCCGCCUCUCAGUGCUGCAGCUAACGCAUUAAGCACUCCGCCUGGGGGAGUACGACCGCAAGGUUGAAAC